This 274-nucleotide ribosomal RNA is filed under the name uncultured bacterium. Its description in RNAcentral is "partial 16S ribosomal RNA". It matches the Rfam family "Bacterial small subunit ribosomal RNA", at positions 523 to 796 of the family's 1533-position model. The record is from RNAcentral.
AUACGGGGGGUCCAAGCGUUAUCCGGAUUCAUUGGGUUUAAAGGGUCCGCAGGCGGGAAAAUAAGUCAGUGGUGAAAGCCUACAGCUCAACUGUAGAACUGCCAUUGAAACUGUUUUUCUUGAGUAUAGAUGAAGUGGGCGGAAUAUAUCAUGUAGCGGUGAAAUGCAUAGAUAUGAUAUAGAACACCGAUUGCGAAGGCAGCUCACUAAACUAUUACUGACGCUCAGGGACGAAAGCGUGGGGAGCGAACAGGAUUAGAAACCCCAGUAGUCC